UGACAAUGGGGGAACCCUGAGUCAGCAACGCAAGAAAAGAGUGAUGAAGGUCUUCGGAUUGAAAACUCUGUCUUUGGGGACGAUAAUGACGGACCCAAGAGGAACCACGGCUAACUACGU
RNAcentral lists this ribosomal RNA (120 nucleotides) under uncultured Clostridium sp. RNAcentral's name for it is "partial 16S ribosomal RNA". Lineage: Bacteria; Bacillati; Bacillota; Clostridia; Eubacteriales; Clostridiaceae. The record is from RNAcentral.